Molecule: long non-coding RNA, 5416 nt
Organism: Aethalodelphis obliquidens (Pacific white-sided dolphin)
Lineage: Eukaryota; Metazoa; Chordata; Mammalia; Artiodactyla; Delphinidae
Exons: 3
Source: RefSeq, a predicted model, not a curated record
CAAAUGUCUCCCCCAAAGGAUCAUUCCACUCAGCCUCCUAAAAUAACACUUUGCUCCUCUCUUCACCACAAGUAACCCAGAUUUUUUGAUUCUCACAGUGGAGAGGCUGACUGAAAAGAAUCCACUGUAGCACAGAACAAGCUUUCCUAAUGAACAGGAGAUUAAUCUCUCCCCCUCUCUCCUGUAUCCCUCUUCCUAGGAUGACUUAUGCAGUUCCAGGGCCCAGUGCAGCCUGGGGUUGACGUUGGAGGGAAAACCUGUAGGGAAGGGAAUGUGAAAGAAAGCCUUGGCAUGAGGAAUAAGAGAAGCAUUGUGAAGUCUGGGAUGUGGGGGGAUGUAAUGUGUUUCUAGCUCUGUGAGGCCCCCAUCCCAGCCCUCUUGAUUUUAGCUUAUUCCUCUUGUCUUCUGCAGACACAUGGCCAAGCUCCCUGUUGCAGGAAGUCUGUGGCCACUGUUUCAUCAAGAUCCCCACUGUGAGUGGGGAGGAGUGGUCAUGGAAGCUGACAUUCUGCUGUUUGGGGAGUCUAUGGAAGAUGCUGCCGCCUCAUAGUCCCAUCCCUCCCACCAUUCCUCUGAGGGGUUCAGUUCAGUCUCUGCCUUCAACCUCUCAGUGACCCACAGAGGACCUAUAACCAGGCCCUCUCUCAGCCCUUGUACCUGUGGCUUCUACCUUCUUACUGGAUUCCACAGAGGCCCAUGUUCCAGACCAUUUACAGGCUCCAUAGCACUGGCUUCCAUCUUCUCUGGGGACUCUGCAGAGGCAUAUUUACUUCUGUUGUCUUUUUGCCUGAGUAUCCUUUGGGGCCCAUCUACCCUCACUGAACUCUUAACUCUCUCCUUUCCUCUCACUGUGUUCUCUUUUCUUUUCUUUUUUUUCUUUUUUUGGCUGCACCGCACAGGUCUUCUGGGUCUUAAUUCCCUGAUCAGGGAUUGAAUCUGUGCCCUUGGCAGUGAAGGCAUGGAGUCCUAACCACUGAACUGCCAGGGAAUUCCCUGUGUUCUGUUUUCUCAAAGUACCCCCUUGUCACUCCUUUCAUCUCCAUCACUGGCUUUAGUGAAAAUUUGUUUGGAAUAGCUAAAUUUUCACAAAACGUUUCUGAGCAUUGUUUUGUUUAGGACUGAAACCUUCCUUUCUAUGUAUGACGUGAUAGGGGGUUUUAGAAUUCUCGUUGUUUGGCCUAUUAUAACACUAUUUUUCAUCCCCAGAUCACUUUUUGGUUGAGUCUUACCAACCAAAGAUAGAAAUCAGGUGAUUAAUUCCACGAAAUUGAUAGCAAAGGAAGUUGGGCGGCACCCAAAGGAAAGUACGUACACACCCAACAGACGGGGUAAUUGCAUGCUGCCUCGUAUUGGACUCACACCGAGGAGUCACUAAGCAUGGGCUAUAUAAUUUUAGGGCCCCAGUGCAGCCUGGCAUUUCCCCUGAAGGAGGAACCCGCAGAAACCAGAAUGAGAAAGCAAGCCUUGGGGUGAGGUAUAAAGGAGUAUAAUGAAGUCUCAGAUGUGGGGCAUGGGAAGGGGCAGCAUGCUUCAGGUGCCCUUACUCUUGCCAGACCCUCUUGUUUCUACUCUGUUCCUGGCAGCAGCUUGCAGCCUCUUGCGGUUUUGGUAACUGCUGGGUCAAGAUCUGUGCAGGGAGGGUUGGGAAAGCAUCACUGUGGUGGCUGACCUUCUGCUUUGGGGAAUCCUGUGAAAGAUGCUGCUUCCUCUGUGUCCCCUUCUGUUCUGUUGAGCCUUCUUUAACUCUGGCCUCCACCCUUUCACCAGACCUUCCAGCAGAUCAAUUAUCAGCCCCUCUGUCUGAGCCCUUUCACUUCUGGCCUAUUUAUCAGCCUUUCCUUCCAGGACCCUACAGAGUCUCAUCUUCCCCUGCUGCUCCCAAUUUUGUAUCUGACUCUGCUCCUGCAUAAUCUGUUUUCUUCUCGUGCCUUGCUCUGUUUUCUUCUCUGCCCUGUUCUUCAUAAUUGGUCCCCCUCCCUCAUCACUCCUUUCAUCUCUAUACUGGCCUCUCUGCCACCAGAGGCUCUGUCAUUGGCUCCCACAUUCUCGCUCAUCUUUUUUUCCACUCCCAUGAUGGCCUUCUCCCCUCUCCCUGGGAGUCCUCCUUGCCUUGAUCUCUCCUAACAUUUCAUUUAUCCUUAUUUCGCCCCAUUACCAGCUUUCUCAUCUUUUCCACGAAGGUCCUCUCUGCCUCCACUCUGCCCCCCAGGUCCCCUUAUUCAAUCUCAACACUGCAGAUCCCUUUCUGCCUCCGGAGCUACAAUCUUAAGGGACCAUCUUCUGCCCCCAUCAUCUACCCUUCCUCCUUUCCCCUAGAACACACUCAGAUACUAGACUCUCUUCCCCAACCAGAUCCCUCCUCUUGCAUGAUCCUACCCUUGUUGUCAGGAACUCAACCUCUUAUCACUCACAACAUCCCAUUCACUCCAUGAAUCCCACUGAUUCAUUUGCCUGUCACCCCAUCAUCACCAACAGUCUCUACCCCACCACUGCCAGACUCUCCUUUAAUACUGACUCAAUUUGGCUUGAUUUAAAUCCUACUGAACACUGUUCCAGAGAGCUCAUCUUCAGAAAACCCCCUUUGACUGACUUCUAUUGCAAAAAACGUAGGCAUUGACUGCUCAAAAACCUUGUCCAUUUCAACUUCCUCCUGGGGGCAGCUGUCUGUUAAGGACUUGCUUUUCCCUACCUUCUCAUACUGUGAUUUCCAGCAGGAGGAGCUUUCUCUUUUCAUCCAGCGAGUUCUGUCUCUGGGGAGACCCUGCAAUCAGGCAUGUGGAAGCAAGUAGACACUCUUUCCUUAGCUCUGCCGUCCAGAAGCUCCUGAAGAUAUGUCACAAAGAGUGUGGAUUUCCAGAUUUGGGAGGACAAAGAAGAAGGGAUCAUUCUAAAACAACGGAGGGCAUACUACCAACUCAGUUCUUCUGCACCUUCUUUAGCAUCACUUACUGUUGAGCACUACUCCACAGCCCUCCAACCCUUCUAGAGAUGUGAAGGCCAACCAUGGUAACUGCAUAGCCCAUAGGAGUCUCCGAAUUCCAAAAUCUUGGGAGACUCUGCAGCAUAAAUGUAGCUAGCUCUUCAGAGGUCCCCCUCUUCGCACAGUGAGUCCCUGCUGGCUACCCUUAUGUUCUUUGAUAGCAGUCCCACACUAGUCUCCCUUUCUCUUAUUCAAUCUCUAGCGUCCCCCUCCCCCAGUCCAAAUACACUUAACCAAUCCCCCAUUGCUUCCUCAGCCCCAGACCCUGCCCCCACCUUAAAGCCUAGCCCCAGUCCUUCGGGAAAAAUUCUAGAGGGAAGGAGCUCACCAAAGGACAGUAUCUUCUCUAAGUUGAGUUUCCACUUUAGGAAUAUGAUGAUGGAGGUGAAUUUAGAUAUUCUUUCAAAGAUUAAACAGUCCAGGGAGAUAGUCAAGGCCAAGGAAUUCCCCAGCUCUGAAGCAGCCUAGGUCAGCAGAAGCCCUGUGUUCCUAAGCUUCAGGCCCCAAGGAAAAGCCAGAAAAAGAAUUUAGCCCCAAAGGAUGAGAGGACCUUAAGGAGAUCCAAAGUUUAAAUACAUCAAGGAGGGGAGGUAGGAUUAAGGAUCUUCGAAGCCAGUCACCCCCUUCCAGAUUCAGCUGACACUCUAGUGAACAAGACCCCUCCCUAGUUUUUGCCCCAGAUGUAAAAUAGACUUCGACAAAUAGUCACCUGGAGAAAAAGGAUGAGUUGCUUGUUCAGUGGCUUUGUCCCAGGACACGAGGCUAAGGGCAAGGAGGUCACUUACAAGAAACUACAUCAACUGUGCACGGUCCACAUCCAGCUGAAACCAGAGGAGUCUUUGGCUGAAGUAUCCUAGUCAUUGUUUCAAGCAUUUGGGACACAUGAGCAAGAAAAACAAAGCUCCCUCCCCUUGUGGAGCUUACAGUGUUGGUCCUUGAGUCAGCUCCUUCUCAUCAUACUCAAAAUGAUAUCAAACCUCCUUCACUUUCCUCAAGCUCCUGCCCCUCCCUCCCCCUCAACAGAUUUGCUGUUUGGCCCACUUUUGAAGGAACCAUAAGCCUUCAGAUGGGAACUUUUCAUCAUCAGAUCUUCAAAAACGGUUGCAUAGCACCCUCCUUUCCCUCUUCCUUACUGCUAUGUAAAGCGGGGGUCUUUCUGGGAGGCCUUCCUUGACCCUCCCAAGACACGAAUGGUGACCUCACUUUCACCAUCACAGCUCUAUUUGUAAUUUUGGGCUACUCUCUAGGUCCCUAAAGUACCAGGACCUUCUCUAUCACCCUCACUAGUGGCCUGGUGUAUCGCAUCUAGUUAACGAGGCGGCAACAGUUUCUCCUCGGAAUCCUGAAUCCAGAAGUCACAGCUCAGGAUUCCCCUCACGGAUGAGGUUGUGACGGGGCUUACUGGCUGACUGAGGGGCCCUUCCACCACUUCUGCCUGCGGCGUUCCACUCGCUAUCGCUUCACCUCAGCCCACUGGGGCCACACUAUCUUGGCUGCGGCCUCCCAAGACCCUGAAAGGCCCCGGAGGCCCUGAGCACGGGACCUGCCCUCUCUGCCUGAACUUAAAGAGAACAUCUUCGUCACCAUCACUGUAACGCCGACUGCUGUCUGGUGGGCUCUGGGCAAGUCCUUGGGCUCCCAGCCCAGAUGUCACCCUGCCACAGGCCAGGAACAGGACGGUACACCGACCUAAUGAGGUGGCCGAGAGGAGUGGAAGGAACCGUGAGCCUUUGUUCAGCACCAGGGCCCAAGGCUGGCCCAGAGGCUCUGCUGCGGUUGCCACCUGGGCUGGCAAGGUCGCAGCUGGCACGCUCCCGGCAGGACCAGUAUCCACACCGUGCGGGGUGCUUGCCUCCCACUGGGAGUUGUUUUCUGAGGAGCUGCCGGGAAGGCCCUGCCAGCCAGGCCAGGAGGCAGGGCUGGUGAGGCCCCGAGGGAAAGGCCCGUGACAGAAAAGGGCAGCGUGACUGCAGAGAUGAGACCACGCCGGAGGGGCACACGCAGGACCCUGUACAGACGGAUGCAGGGAUCUCACCUCCCUGGGCUGGGCUGAGGCCUCAAGGUGACGUGGUGGGGCCGAGGGCACAGAGGCUCCCAGCUGCCUUCACAACAGGUACUGACACAGCCAUUGCGGGCCCUCAGCACCAGGUCCUGUGUUACACAAGAACUCUGGCGUGGCGUGGGGGUGGUCACUAGAGAUGGAAGGAAAUAUCAUGGUUCUUCUUUCUGGGGGGACAGGUUGUCUUACUCGUGCAUAAGUGUUUUAUAGCGAAUUUGCAAGAUACAGAAUAGUAGAUGGCAGUACCCCAUGGACCCCUAAACUCAAAACAUCUAAUACUAAUAUUUUGAUGUAUUUUUGUAACAUCUUUACUGGAGUAUGAUUGCUUUACAAUGGAGUUUUAGUUUCUGCUUUACAACAAAGUGAAUCAGUUAUAC